Pyrus x bretschneideri (Chinese white pear) is the source of this 273-nucleotide long non-coding RNA. RefSeq lists it as uncharacterized. NCBI's taxonomy places the organism in Eukaryota, Viridiplantae, Streptophyta, Magnoliopsida, Rosales, Rosaceae. The record is from RefSeq and is a predicted model, not a curated record. The transcript is spliced from 2 exons.
AUGCGGUGAAUAUGUGACAUUACGCAAAGUUGGGGAUGCAAGCCAUAAGGGUGGUGGUUCCGGCACCCAACAAAUUGUGAUCGAAGGCCCCUUAUGCGAGGAUUAUUACAAGAUCCGGGAGUAUCUCUACUCACAAUUUUAUUUGCUUUAAGUAAAGAUACAUAAUAUCAAACGCCUUCAGAUGAACCGUCAUUUAGUCGUGAUGUUAAUUUCUAGUGAUUUCAUGAAACACACUAAAGUUUAAUUUAAAUAUAGGACAUAUUUUCCGUUGAA